Molecule: long non-coding RNA, 381 nt
Organism: Trichechus manatus latirostris (Florida manatee)
Lineage: Eukaryota; Metazoa; Chordata; Mammalia; Sirenia; Trichechidae
Exons: 3
Source: RefSeq, a predicted model, not a curated record
CUCACAAGUGUGCCCCAGGAAAGAGCCAGUGGUGGGACGUCUGCCACACAGAUGCCAGUCAGGAACACCAGCCAGGAGAAGACCACAGCUACAGCACUGAACAAGCACCUUGGCAUCUCGUUUUCCAGAAUGAGGAUCUGUGAUUCCAAGCUAGGUGGUUCGUGUAUGCAUCAGAAGUCCUGGCUGAUAGCCUGAUGGAGUAAAUCAAACAAUGGCCUGGAAGGAAUCCAAGAUGGAAAAUGAUGGAAGAAAUUGAUUAUUCCUGUUUAAAAUUCCAGCUAUUAGGAUUGAAUUUGCAUUUGGCUUAUUCCUUGGAAGCAUAUGAUGAAAACACCUGCAACCCCCAUGGAGUGGUGUUAUUUUCCUAGUCUGCAAACUCGA